CUGUGCCCUGUGCUCGCGCGCACCUGUGGGACCGUAGCCGCCACCCCGCGGGGAGUCCCCCGACCUCACGGGUUCCCAGUUUUCCAACUCUGAAGUGUUUUCCAAUCAAAACAAAGAAAAGAUUUGCGGAUGUUGAAUAUGCAAGGAGCUGAAGAGAGAGAGCUUGGAAGAGAGGUUUGUCCAGAUUUGAUGGACAGGUCUGUUCCAGAGCAGGAUGUCUCUGAAAUUAAUUCACCAGGGAUAGUAGCAAAGAGAUUACCAGAGGAUGCAAACCAGGAUUCUAUAUUUGAAAAAAAAUAUGCAUGUGAGAGCAUGAAGGAAAACCCUUCUGGAGAGGUUCCUGGACCAUGCCUUUUUCAAGAAGGAGGUUUGGGGGAAAUAACUUUUAUCCACAAGGAAGCAUCUCCUGAAACAGUUAGCCAAGAAUAUAAUUUUGAGCGAAGCUUGCUCUUGACCUCCAGCUUUGUUACACAUCUCAGGGUUUCUACAGAAGAGAGCCUACAUCAGUGGGAGACAAGUAGCAUACACACUAAUGAGAUUUCAGACCAAAGUAAAUGCCCAACUCUCUCUACACAGAAAAAGUCUUGGGAAUGUAAUGAAUGUGGAAAAACUUUUACUCAGAGCUCAUCCCUUACCCAACAUCAGAGGACUCAUACUGGAGAGAGACCCUAUGCAUGUGAGGAAUGUGGGAAAGCCUUUAGUCGCAGUUCCUUCCUUACUCAGCAUCAAAGAAUUCACACCGGAGUAAAACCAUAUGGAUGUGAGCAGUGUGGGAAAACAUUUCGAUGUCGAUCAUUUCUUACUCAGCAUCAGAGAAUCCAUACCGGAGAGAAACCUUAUAAAUGUAAUGAAUGUGGAAAUUCCUUCCGCAAUCAUUCACAUCUCACUGAACAUCAGAGAAUUCACA
This is a long non-coding RNA of Neomonachus schauinslandi (Hawaiian monk seal), 907 nucleotides long. RefSeq lists it as uncharacterized. The transcript has 3 exons. Lineage: Eukaryota; Metazoa; Chordata; Mammalia; Carnivora; Phocidae. The record is from RefSeq and is a predicted model, not a curated record.